This 550-nucleotide ribosomal RNA is filed under the name uncultured bacterium. RNAcentral's name for it is "bacterial SSU rRNA". It matches the Rfam family "Bacterial small subunit ribosomal RNA", at positions 353 to 903 of the family's 1533-position model. The record is from RNAcentral.
AGUAAGGAAUAUUGGUCAAUGGACGAAAGUCUGAACCAGCCAUGCCGCGUGAAGGAUGAAGGUCCUCUGGAUUGUAAACUUCUUUUAUAUGGGGCGAAAAAAGGCCUUUCUAGGUCGUCUGACGGUACCAUAUGAAUAAGCACCGGCUAACUCCGUGCCAGCAGCCGCGGUAAUACGGAGGGUGCAAGCGUUAUCCGGAUUCACUGGGUUUAAAGGGUGCGUAGGUGGGUUGGUAAGUCAGUGGUGAAAUCUCCGGGCUUAACUCGGAAACUGCCAUUGAUACUAUUAAUCUUGAAUACCGUGGAGGUUGGCGGAAUAUGUCAUGUAGCGGUGAAAUGCUUAGAUAUGACAUAGAACACCAAUUGCGAAGGCAGCUGGCUACACGGAUAUUGACACUGAGGCACGAAAGCGUGGGGAUCAAACAGGAUUAGAUACCCUGGUAGUCCACGCCCUAAACUAUGGAUACUCGACAUUUGCGAUAAACUGUAAGUGUCUGAGCGAAAGCAUUAAGUAUCCCACCUGGGAAGUACGAUCGCAAGACUGAAACUCA